This 253-nucleotide ribosomal RNA is filed under the name uncultured bacterium. RNAcentral describes it as "partial 16S ribosomal RNA". It matches the Rfam family "Bacterial small subunit ribosomal RNA", at positions 524 to 776 of the family's 1533-position model. The record is from RNAcentral.
UACAGAGGGGGCAAGCGUUGUUCGGAAUUACUGGGCGUAAAGGGCGCGUAGGCGGCCUGCUAAGUCGAACGUGAAAUCCCCGAGCUCAACUCGGGAACUGCGUCCGAUACUGGCAGGCUUGAAUCCGGGAGAGGGAUGCGGAAUUCCAGGUGUAGCGGUGAAAUGCGUAGAUAUCUGGAGGAACACCGGUGGCGAAGGCGGGUUGCUGGGCUGACACUGACGCUGAACUGCGAAAGCUAGGGGAGCGAACGGG